UUGGUGUGAAUUGCAGAAUCCCGUGAACCAUCGAGUUUUUGAACGCAAGUUGCGCCCAAAGCCAUCCGGUUGAGGGCACGCCUGCCUGGGCGUCACG
Molecule: ribosomal RNA, 97 nt
Filed under: Tragopogon porrifolius (salsify)
Lineage: Eukaryota; Viridiplantae; Streptophyta; Magnoliopsida; Asterales; Asteraceae
Also listed under: 2 other names
Description: partial 5.8S ribosomal RNA
Rfam family: 5.8S ribosomal RNA
About the family: 5.8S ribosomal RNA (5.8S rRNA) is a component of the large subunit of the eukaryotic ribosome. It is transcribed by RNA polymerase I as part of the 45S precursor that also contains 18S and 28S rRNA.
Source: RNAcentral